GACGAACGCUGGCGACGUGCUUAACACAUGCAAGUCGAACGGAAAGGCCCUGCUUGCAGGGUGCUCGAGUGGCGAACGGGUGAGUAACACGUGGGUGAUCUGCCCCUUACUUUGGGAUAAGCCUGGGAAACUGGGUCUAAUACUGGAUAGGACCAUGCUGUAGGUGGUGUGGUGGAAAGAUUAGUUUCGGUAAGGGAUGAGCUCGCGGCCUAUCAGCUUGUUGGUGGGGUAAUGGCCUACCAAGGCGUCGACGGGUAGCCGGCCUGAGAGGGUGGACGGCCACAUUGGGACUGAGAUACGGCCCAGACUCCUACGGGAGGCAGCAGUGGGGAAUAUUGCACAAUGGGCGCAAGCCUGAUGCAGCGACGCCGCGUGGGGGAUGACGGCCUUCGGGUUGUAAACUCCUUUCAGCCAUGACGAAGCCCUUGUGGUGACGGUAGUGGUAGAAGAAGCACCGGCUAACUACGUG
This 469-nucleotide ribosomal RNA is filed under the name uncultured bacterium. RNAcentral's name for it is "partial 16S ribosomal RNA". It matches the Rfam family "Bacterial small subunit ribosomal RNA", at positions 28 to 507 of the family's 1533-position model. The record is from RNAcentral.